RNAcentral lists this ribosomal RNA (460 nucleotides) under uncultured bacterium. RNAcentral describes it as "partial 16S ribosomal RNA". It matches the Rfam family "Bacterial small subunit ribosomal RNA", at positions 338 to 795 of the family's 1533-position model. The record is from RNAcentral.
CCUACGGGUGGCUGCAGUGAGGAAUAUUGGUCAAUGGGCGCGAGCCUGAACCAGCCAAGUAGCGUGAAGGAUGACUGCCCUACGGGUUGUAAACUUCUUUUAUAAAGGAAUAACGUGAGGCACUUGUGCCUUUUUGUAUCUACUUUAUGAAUAAGGAUCGGCUAACUCCGUGCCAGCAGCCGCGGUAAUACGGAGGAUCCGAGCGUUGUCAGGAUUUAUUGGGUUUAAAGGGAGCGUAGAUGGGUUGGUAAGUCAGUUGUGAAAGUUUGCGGCUCAACCGUAAAAUUGCAAUUGAUACUGGCAGUCGUGAGUACAGGUGAGGUAGGCGGAAUUCGUGGUGUAGCGGUGAAAUGCGUAGAUAUCACGAAGAACUCCGAUGGCGAAGGCAGCUUACUAAACUGCCACUGACAUUGAUGCGCGAAAGUGUGGGUAUCAAACAGGAUUAGAUACCCUUGUAGUC